Molecule: transfer RNA, 69 nt
Filed under: Ictidomys tridecemlineatus (thirteen-lined ground squirrel)
Lineage: Eukaryota; Metazoa; Chordata; Mammalia; Rodentia; Sciuridae
Description: Spermophilus tridecemlineatus (thirteen-lined ground squirrel) tRNA
Rfam family: tRNA
About the family: Transfer RNA (tRNA) molecules are approximately 80 nucleotides in length. Their secondary structure includes four short double-helical elements and three loops (D, anti-codon, and T loops).
Source: Rfam by way of RNAcentral
GGGGCUGUGGCUCAGUGGUAGAGCACUCAUUUUGCAUGUGUGAAGCCCUGGGUUCUAUCUUCAGCACCA